This 472-nucleotide ribosomal RNA is filed under the name uncultured bacterium. Its description in RNAcentral is "bacterial SSU rRNA". It matches the Rfam family "Bacterial small subunit ribosomal RNA", at positions 335 to 799 of the family's 1533-position model. The record is from RNAcentral.
ACUCCUACGGGAGGCAGCAGUGGGGAAUAUUGGACAAUGGGGGCAACCCUGAUCCAGCAAUGCCGCGUGUGUGAAGAAGGCCUUCGGGUUGUAAAGCACUUUUAUCAGGAAAGAAAUCCAGUUGGUUAAUACCCGGCUGGGAUGACGGUACCUGAGGAAUAAGCACCGGCUAACUUCGUGCCAGCAGCCGCGGUAAUACGAAGGGUGCAAGCGUUAAUCGGAAUUACUGGGCGUAAAGGGUGCGUAGGCGGCCUGUUAAGUCAGAUGUGAAAGCCCUGGGCUCAACCUGGGAACUGCAUUUGAUACUGGCAGGCUGGAGUGCGGUAGAGGGUGGUGGAAUUCCCGGUGUAGCGGUGAAAUGCGUAGAGAUCGGGAGGAACAUCCGUGGCGAAGGCGGCCACCUGGACCAGCACUGACGCUGAGGCACGAAAGCGUGGGGGAGCAAACAGGAUUAGAACCCUGGUAGACUCUG